UACCAGCUCUCCGAGUGGUAGGGAUGAUUAUUGGGCUUAAAGCGUCCGUAGCCGGCUUAGCAAGUCUCCUGUUAAAUUCAGCGACCUAAUCGUUGAGCCGCGGGAGAUACUACUAGGCUAGGAGGCGGGAGAGGUCGACGGUACUUCUGGGGUAGGGGUGAAAUCCUAUAAUCCCGGGAGGACCACCAGUGGCGAAGGCUGUCGACUAGAACGCGCUCGACGGUGAGGGACGAAAGCUGGGGAGCGAACCGGAUUAGAUACCCGGGUAGUCCCAGCUGUAAACGAUGCGAGCUAGGUGUUGGGGUGGCUACGUGCCACUUCAAUGCCGCAGGGAAGCCAUUAAGCUCGCCGCCUGGGGAAUACGGCCGCAAGGCUGAAACUUAAAGGAAUUGGCGGGGAGCACCACAAGGCGUGAAGCUUGCGGUUC
RNAcentral lists this ribosomal RNA (427 nucleotides) under uncultured archaeon. RNAcentral's name for it is "bacterial SSU rRNA". It matches the Rfam family "Archaeal small subunit ribosomal RNA", at positions 474 to 903 of the family's 1478-position model. The record is from RNAcentral.